RNAcentral lists this ribosomal RNA (218 nucleotides) under uncultured Enterobacterales bacterium. RNAcentral describes it as "partial 16S ribosomal RNA". It matches the Rfam family "Bacterial small subunit ribosomal RNA", at positions 114 to 334 of the family's 1533-position model. The record is from RNAcentral. Lineage: Bacteria; Pseudomonadati; Pseudomonadota; Gammaproteobacteria; Enterobacterales.
AGUCUGGGAAACUGCCUGAUGGAGGGGGAGUAACUACUGGAAACGGUAGCUAAUACCGCAUAAUGUCGCAAGACCAAAGUGGGGGACCUUCGGGCCUCAUGCCAUCAGAUGUGCCCAGAUGGGAUCAGCUAGUAGGUGGGGUAAUGGCUCACCUAGGCGACGAUCCCUAGCUGGUCUGAGAGGAUGACCAGCCACACUGGAACUGAGACACGGUCCAG